GUGCAGGCACUGCUCUGCACAACAGGAGAGGAAAUCCUGGAUGGCAACCAACCUUCCCUGCCUCCCACGCCAGCCUCUGUCCCUCCUGCUCACAGCUGCCAUCCCAUCAGAGAACACCAGUGUUGGCAUCAGCUUUUGCUCAAGGUGAUCUAUGGUUCAGAUGUUAGUCUUUUUAUCUGUUGCCUGGAUUUCUCUUGAAUAAAAGGAGACUGGCAUAUUUUCCUCCUUUUUGCUGCAAGGAAGGCCUAACGAUAACACCGGAUUUGAAGCACGGUUCUCGGCGUUGAGCACACUGACGGGACCAAGAGGAAGGCGAGGUUAUCGUUGAUGAGAUCCUGUUCACCUUAAUCAAAGACAAAACCUGACCCCCAGAGAAGUAGCUCAGGACUGCUUGUGUGAGGCACCUGCAGGAUGGGCCUGGCCUCGCUCUCUCAGGUACAGGAAGAAAGAAAAACGCCAGCUCUUGUUCAUGAAGGAGAUAAUCCCAGCUGUCACGCAGCCGCUCAGGAGAGCCGAGUCCUGUUUGCUCCAGUGACUAAUUACAGCAGAACAGAGCACAUCUUGUCUCUGCUGGCAUUUCAGUUUGAAGGACCUUACCACCCAAAACCUGGUAUCCCCGUUUUUUCCUUUCCCUGCCCUGGUGGCUGGUGGUGCAGCUGCCCCAGCGCUGAGCACCGGCAGCUUAAAGCACAGUGACGGCAAGCAGCGUUAAAGAACACGCUCUUACUCAAAGGAGCAGCUCCCUGCAUACCCUGGAAUUAGAGCCGCUCACUUUUCUGACCAAAAGCCUGUUUUUACUAUUGUUAGCUCUGUAGAGCCAAGGAGCUCUGGGAGCACGAGCUGGCUUCUAUUCUGUUUUGUACAUCAUCGACCAAAUUGUCAGCUAAUUUCCUAUUGUGGGAUCUUUAUCACCAUCAGGGACCUAUGAGGCAGAAUGAAUAUUUUUUACUUUCAAAUCUCAUGUGGAAGCUGCGGGUUGCCAGCGGGGAAAAAAAAUUCUGACCUGUAAAUUUAGCAAAUAUGAUAGGAAAGUAAUUGAAAAUGAAAAAUAAGGAAAGGUCCUUAUUUUUAUCCUGUUAAAGACUAAUUAUAUUACUAAUUAUAUUACUGAAUUAUAAACACAUUUUUUAAAAGUGUCUUUUUCAGUUUUGUGUGUGUGUGUGAUGUUUCUCCUUUUUUCCCUUUUGUGUCUUUUUUUGUCAGAUGUUCUUCAAGGCUCUUUUAAGUCCCUUGGUUUCAAAUCACGUUGAAACAUAUAGUUUUGUUAACCCUAAAACUGGCAUCCUAGAGGAGUCAAAAAUGAGAUUGGCUUAAAAAUCUUAAAUUCCAGAAAAAAUAAGAUGUAAUUUUUAAACUUCUAAUCUUUUAUCAAAUUUAUAUUUUCAGAUGUUACAGAUGUGAGGGGCAGAAAUGCACACAAAGAAAAAGCAGCUUAAAACGGUCAUGGGUUCAUUCACGUCCAAGAAUGGCAGUUAUAAAGGAAGAAGCAAAUAUUGAAACUCAAGAUAAAAUCUUGAGACUUUUCAAAACUGAGCACCCCCAUCCCCCCAGUCCAAAGCAGUUCUUUUUCUGGAAUUUGGAUUGUAAAUCUCCACUAAGAAGGUAGAGCAAAAAUACAGCACAAUGUUGUCAUUUCUGCAAAGAAAAAUUAACUUAAAAAAAAACCCUAAAAGCAAAGCCACUUAAAGCUCAGCAGCUGGUAUGAAAAAACCUGAAGCACUGGAAGACUUGCAAGUGCAGAUUAAGGUAUACUUCUCCUAGCCAAUUUUAUCUCCAUGUCUCUUUGCUCAGUGCAUGUCCUUUUUGAGGUGAAGACAGUUAAAGCCAACCAUCUCCUGAUGCUUUGUUGAGGUCAACAGUAGUUUUAAAUGUGAAAGGACUGAAGCACUCAGUCCCUGUCUAGGAAGCCAUUACAGCAAGACCUGUUGACCCAAUAGCUCCUUACACUACACUGCUAUUUUAGGAAGUUCAUGGAACAGUGUAAAUUAUCCUGAGAUGAAUAAAAUCAUAAAGAAGAAAAGCUUGUAACUGGAAAGCAUCAGUCCUGGUGGAGAGUGGACUAAAUCAAAAUUAUGCAGGAAAACAAUUCAGCUAUACUGAAAAAAAAUAUUUAUGGGAGACAUUUGCACAGUUUGUAACUUACAGAAAAAAACUUCAUCUCAGGCAAGGACCCCGUGGCAGAAAAUAUACUGCGAAUAGAAU
Molecule: long non-coding RNA, 2202 nt
Organism: Motacilla alba alba
Lineage: Eukaryota; Metazoa; Chordata; Aves; Passeriformes; Motacillidae
Exons: 4
Source: RefSeq, a predicted model, not a curated record